This is an RNA transcript of Argiope bruennichi, 1229 nucleotides long. RefSeq lists it as uncharacterized. Lineage: Eukaryota; Metazoa; Arthropoda; Arachnida; Araneae; Araneidae. The record is from RefSeq and is a predicted model, not a curated record. The transcript has 2 exons.
UCAGAAGGAGAGUGGUAAUCCGAUUCUCCGUGCCAGCAAUGACGUCGAUUCGGUUGAAAAUGAUUGGCGCACUUUCUAGAAGCAAAUAUUUUGAGGGCAUUUUUUGAUUUUUUUUAAAAUGACCGUCAUCCAUUUCGGCGGUCAAAAACAAAGCAAAUCUAGAAAUUGCCUUUGCUCGCACUUCGUAAUUUUCUCACUGUGCUCGUAAUUAGACGUCCAUGCCACACCACCUUAAAGAAAUUUGAUCCGAGGUAGCUUAUUUAAUGUCAUUCUAUUAACUCAAAUUUUUUGAGCCAUCGGAUCUCGAGACUCCCGACUCAUCCAUCCGGAAGAACUUAGCUGCCGUGAGCUUUUUGGAAAUACUACACCUCAGGGGUAAAAGAUUUUGAAGAUGGCUGCUGGUUAUAAUGGAAAAAUUAUACUUAAAAAUGAAGAAGCCAUCUCAGAUGGGCAUAGAGUGCUGAUUGAUUUUGAGGUGGAUAACCUAGCAGCAAAAGAAACGUUUGAUCUGAAACAGGAUCACAUUACCAGAUGCGAAGUAUUACCAACAUCGUGGAAAUUUCGAAUGAUGUUUCGACGAGUUUCGGCCAAUGGGAUUGUUAACAUUCCUGUAUCUUUAAAGAGAUUCGAUUCCAUGCCUUACCAAGUGAAUGCUUCAAUUAGUGUGUUACUUUCUGAUGGCAGAAACCAGUCUUUUUUUGGCGGCCCAAGAAACUUUAUUAAGCCUAAAAUGGGAUCCGGUGAUGAAUUACUUGGAUACGUAAAUGGAAUUCUACAAUUUCCGCAACACAUAGCUUUGUUUAAUGAAAUGUUAAUUGUUCAUGUCGUUAUCGAAUUUCGUUAUUGUCAUUCAGCGUAACAACACGAAGCAAAAUAUACAACUGGAAAUAACUGAAUUAUAUUUUUCCAAUUAACUUAAGAUUUCCUCAUUUUUUUGCCAUUGUUCAUUGAUAGCUUAUGACAAGCUUUGCGUAUACUUGUAACACAUGACAAUUUGUUUUACUCGAGUGUGAAUCUCUUGCUAUGUGUUCACUUAGUAGGUAUUUGUUGAAAUAAAAGUAACAAAAUAAAAUGGGAAUGCCAACUCUUGAGAAAUUUUCAUAUUUAUGCAUGAUUAAGAAAGAAUAUCUAUUUCUUUGCAGCUUUUUUUAAUGCUUUUUUAAUGUUUGUUUGAUGUUAUGGAUCUGUGUUUUGUAAUAUCAAUAAAUCAUGGCAUAUUUCAUCUAGUA